Molecule: ribosomal RNA, 253 nt
Filed under: uncultured bacterium
Lineage: Bacteria
Description: partial 16S ribosomal RNA
Rfam family: Bacterial small subunit ribosomal RNA
Source: RNAcentral
UACGGAGGGGGCAAGCGUUAUCCGGAUUUACUGGGUUUAAAGGGUGCGUAGGUGGGUAGGUAAGUCAGUGGUGAAAUCUUCGAGCUUAACUCGGAAACUGCCAUUGAUACUAUUUAUCUUGAAUACUCUGGAGGUAAGCGGAAUAUGUCAUGUAGCGGUGAAAUGCUUAGAUAUGACAUAGAACACCAAUUGCGAAGGCAGCUUACUAGAUAGUUAUUGACACUGAGGCACGAAAGCGUGGGGAGCGAACGGG